Molecule: long non-coding RNA, 1696 nt
Filed under: Homo sapiens (human)
Lineage: Eukaryota; Metazoa; Chordata; Mammalia; Primates; Hominidae
Description: HSALNT0078524
Source: RNAcentral
UUUAAACAUCCUUUUGCUAGACUCCCUUAUCAGCAACUCCACGCCCUGCUCACCAAUGCCCGGCUGGAAAGGUCCCUACUUACUCCUGUGCACAUGCCUGGCAAGGCUGCUUGCUAAACAGCAUGGACAAGGGGACGUCUGUGCCCCUGCAUGUUGCCGGGCAGAGGAGGCUACGACCUUUUCCCGAAUGGCCAUUAGGUCCAAGAGCCACUGAACUUUCAUUCUGUGACCGAGGACAUUGUCUCAUCUUUCCAAGUCUCACUUGCCCUUUUGCCUGAUGUGGGGCUAAUAGAGAUUACCCUGGUGGCCUCCUGAAGUUGCUGUGCAGAUCUAGUGAGCUAAUGCAUGCGAGAGCACUUUGUGACUCCCAAAAGCCUGAAACCUGAUGGAGGAUGUGGUUGCUGUUGUUAUUGGGCAUUCUACUGGAAACGCGGGGAAAGAACAGCAACAUCUCCCGGUGAUAAGGGAGUGCUGUGCACAGACAUUGAGUGUGUUCUCUUUUGUGGGAUGGUGCCAUCUUCCACAGGUACAAGCACUGUCCACAUCCCACUGAGAGCAGCAGGGGCCACAGGAAGUCCGCUUGCUUUCAAUGAGCUUGGCAUGGCUCACUGCCGGCAUCGCGGCCACACUCCUGCUUCAGUGACUGCACCUACUCUGGGCAGCUCCCAAUGCAGGGCUGGGCCUGGGUUCACGGGGAAGCAGGGGCUGAGACAGAGGUGAUAACAUAGGAUGUGACUGUUUAAAUUCACCUGGCUUCGGUCAACAUUGACAGAAGGUGUACAUGACUCUACGGGAAUGGGGAAAUGGCAGCACCAGGGGCUGACUGAGCCCCAGUCCUGACUGUGACUGCUUUGGUAACAACAAGGUGUUUAGGAAGAACAGUCCCAGUCCUUUUCCAAAGGUCGCCUCCUGGUGUUUACUAAAGGAACUCUGAGUCUCAGCAGAAGCAGAAGUCCUACCAUUAGCUUGCAGAACCCUUCAGGAUGGGAAAGAAGACUUGGGCUUCAGUGACUCAGCCUGGAGCUGGGAACAGGCAGGCAGGGAUACAGAGUGGGUGUUCUUCUCCUACAGGAGGAGAGAUGCAUCCCUCAUGCCCAGAGAGGCUCUGGGGUCCCCGAAUCCAGAGGUAGUAGAAGAAGAGUCAAAACACACUCUCCUGAGAACACAUCUCAGGUGCAUGGAACACAAGACACGCUGCUUUGAUUAGGGUGCUCUCUUGUCCAUUUUGUUCUAUAAUCCACAAGAGAAGACCAUCUGCACAGCAGUGACAUGCUCUAGUUGACCAUGAUGAGCCUUUCCUAGGGAAACUAUUUUGAGUGGUAUAUCUUACAGGAGACUGCAAGGCUCAAUAGUACAGUCACCAGGAAAAUCUACAUGUAAAUAUGACACUUAUGAACCGGCAAUAAAAUAUGGUGAGUCUAAAGACCUUCCAUGUCAAAGUUCUUUUUCUUUUUUUUUUUUGACGGAGUUUCACUUUAGUUGCCCAGGCUGGAGUGCAGUGGUGUGAUCUUGGCUCACCACAACCUCCGCCUCUUGGGUUCAAGCCAUUCUCCUGCCUCAGCCUUCUGAGUAGCUGCAAUUACAGGCAUGUGCCACCACAUCUGGCUAAUUUUGUGUUUUUAGUAAAGAUGGGGUUUCUCCAUGUUGGUCAGGCUGGUCUUGAACUCCUGACCUCAGGUGAUCCACCCGCCUUGGC